Non-coding RNA from Pelobates cultripes (western spadefoot toad), 267 nucleotides. The record is from the annotation of a GenBank genome assembly. Lineage: Eukaryota; Metazoa; Chordata; Amphibia; Anura; Pelobatidae.
UAGAUCUUUAGAAGUACAUUCAGCAAUAGGGAGGUCAUCAGCGCAGAGGAGGAGGUCAUCCACAUAUUGUAGCAGGACCACAUCAAUGUGGGAUUUUUGCCAUGAGCCCAGAAUCGAAGCAAUAGCCUUGGCAAAUUGACUAGGAGAGUUUUGUGCCCCUUGAGGCAUGACAGUCCAUGUGCUGCUGUACACUGAAGAAAGCAUUAGCCAGAUCCACCACUGUGAAGAACUUGGAGGUAGGUGGGAUCCCAGACAGUAGUGUAUGAG